CGUAUUUCCAUGCCGUGCAUGACGUCACAGCGGGUAGGGCGCAAUCACAUGGAUUUCGGGGCUGGACAGGAAGCGGAGACGCCAGGAGCAACGCGCAUCGGUCCGCAGCUCAGAACGGGAAUGGAAGCGGGAGAGAAACGGGAGGCUCGCUCGUCUCACCACCACCACCACCACCAUCAUCAUCAUCAAAUAUAAGCGAUCGGCACGGGCAGCGAAAACCCGCUUGAGGUGGAAGCGGAGCUGGGAUUCUGUCGCUGGAUUUGCGCAACACAUCAGUGGCUAUUUUCCAUUGUUACCGUUUCCUUCGGACAAGACAGAAGCCGCAGAACCGUCGGCUGGUUUGCGACAAUUGAUUGAGGAACUUUUCCAUUCAGAAAUCAGCUUGGCACUGCCACAGAACCAAAGGUCUGAGACCUGCGGCCUGCCGUACAUUCCAGCGCACGUGUGCACACAGACACACUAUCAUUAACCCCUCGAACCCCUCCUCGAGGAAACCUCAGUGCUGCUUCC
Molecule: long non-coding RNA, 510 nt
Filed under: Sinocyclocheilus grahami
Lineage: Eukaryota; Metazoa; Chordata; Actinopteri; Cypriniformes; Cyprinidae
Description: lncRNA (ENSSGRG00000035273.1)
Source: RNAcentral